CCUACGGGAGGCAGCAGUAAGGAAUAUUGGUCAAUGGACGCAAGUCUGAACCAGCCAUGCCGCGUGAAGGAUGAAGGCCCUCUGGGUUGUAAACUUCUUUUAUAGGGGACGAAAAAAGGGAAUUCUUUCUCACUUGACGGUACCCUAGGAAUAAGCACCGGCUAACUCCGUGCCAGCAGCCGCGGUAAUACGGAGGGUGCAAGCGUUAUCCGGAUUUACUGGGUUUAAAGGGUGCGUAGGUGGGUAAGUAAGUCAGCGGUGAAAUCUACGAGCUUAACUCGUAAAUUGCCUUUGAUACUAUUUAUCUUGAAUUAUCUGGAGGUAAGCGGAAUAUGUCAUGUAGCGGUGAAAUGCUUAGAUAUGACAUAGAACACCAAUUGCGAAGGCAGCUUACUACGGAUAUAUUGACACUGAGGCACGAAAGCGUGGGGAUCAAACAGGAUUAGAUACCCUGGUAGUCCACGCCCUAAACGAUGGAUACUCGACAUCAGCGAUACACUGUUGGUGUCUGAGCGAAAGCAUUAAGUAUCCACCUGGAAGUACGAUCGCAAGAUUGAAACUCAAAGGAAUUGACGGCNGAGAGAGCGAGACGACGACGAGGGAGGAGG
This 608-nucleotide ribosomal RNA is filed under the name uncultured bacterium. Its description in RNAcentral is "bacterial SSU rRNA". It matches the Rfam family "Bacterial small subunit ribosomal RNA", at positions 338 to 948 of the family's 1533-position model. The record is from RNAcentral.